UGGGGAAUAUUGCACAAUGGGCGAAAGCCUGAUGCAGCAACGCCGCGUGAGUGAUGAAGGCCUUCGGGUUGUAAAGCUCUGCCUUUUGGGACGAUAAUGACGGUACCAAAGGAGGAAGCCACGGCUAACUACGUGCCAGCAGCCGCGGUAAUACGUAGGUGGCAAGCGUUGUCCGGAUUUACUGGGCGUAAAGGAUGCGUAGGCGGAUUUUUAAGUGAGAUGUGAAAUACCCGGGCUUAACUUGGGUGCUGCAUUUCAAACUGGGAAUCUAGAGUGCGGGAGAGGAGAAUGGAAUUCCUAGUGUAGCGGUGAAAUGCGUAGAGAUUAGGAAGAACACCAGUGGCGAAGGCGAUUCUCUGGACCGUAACUGACGCUGAGGCAUGAAAGCGUGGGUAGCAAACAGGAUUAGAUACCCUGGUAGUCCACGCCGUAAACGAUGAGUACUAGGUGUAGGAGGUAUCGACCCCUUCUGUGCCGCAGUUAACACAAUAAGUACUCCGCCUGGGAAGUACGAUCGCAAGAUU
RNAcentral lists this ribosomal RNA (524 nucleotides) under uncultured bacterium. Its description in RNAcentral is "partial 16S ribosomal RNA". It matches the Rfam family "Bacterial small subunit ribosomal RNA", at positions 355 to 895 of the family's 1533-position model. The record is from RNAcentral.